This 74-nucleotide transfer RNA is filed under the name Lobotes surinamensis (Atlantic tripletail). Its description in RNAcentral is "tRNA-Thr". It matches the Rfam family "tRNA". From Rfam's summary of the family: Transfer RNA (tRNA) molecules are approximately 80 nucleotides in length. Their secondary structure includes four short double-helical elements and three loops (D, anti-codon, and T loops). The record is from RNAcentral. Lineage: Eukaryota; Metazoa; Chordata; Actinopteri; Lobotiformes; Lobotidae.
GCGCUAGUAGCUCAGCCCGAUAGAGCACCGAUUUUGUAAUUCGGUUGACGGAGGUUGAAAUCCCCCCUAGCGCC